AGAGUUUGAUCCUGGCUCAGACUCUAAGUCGUAACAAGGUAACCCUGCAAGUCGAGGGGUAGCAGGAUUAAGCUUGCUUAAUUGCUGACGACCGGCGCACGGGUGCGUAACGCGUAUGCAACCUACCUUAUACUGGGGUAUAGCCCGGAGAAAUUCGGAUUAAUCCCCCAUAGUACUAUUUUACUGCAUGGUAGGAUAGUUAAAGCGUCAGCGGUAUAAGAUGGGCAUGCGUCCUAUUAGCUAGAUGGUGAGGUAACGGCUCACCAUGGCUACGAUAGGUAGGGGGCCUGAGAGGGUGGUCCCCCACACUGGUACUGAGACACGGACCAGACUCCUACGGGAGGCAGCAGUGAGGAAUAUUGGUCAAUGGGCGCAAGCCUGAACCAGCCAUGCCGCGUGCAGGAAGAAUGCCCUAUGGGUUGUAAACUGCUUUUAUUUGGGAAUAAACCUCUUUACGUGUAGAGAGCUGAAGGUACCAAAUGAAUAAGCACCGGCUAACUCCGUGCCAGCAGCCGCGGUAAUACGGAGGGUGCAAGCGUUAUCCGGAAUCAUUGGGUUUAAAGGGUCCGCAGGCGGAUUUAUAAGUCAGUGGUGAAAUCCUAUCGCUUAACGAUAGAACUGCCAUUGAUACUGUAAGUCUUGAAUUCGGUCGGAGUGGGCGGAAUGUGUAGUGUAGCGGUGAAAUGCAUAGAUAUUACACAGAACACCGAUAGCGAAGGCAGCUCACUAGGCCUGAAUUGACGCUCAGGGACGAAAGCGUGGGGAUCAAACAGGAUUAGAUACCCUGGUAGUCCACGCUGUAAACGAUGAUUACUCGUUUUCGGCGAUAUACGGUCGGAGACUAAGCGAAAGUGAUAAGUAAUCCACCUGGGGAGUACGAUCGCAAGGUUGAAACUCAAAGGAAUUGACGGGGGCCCGCACAAGCGGUGGAGUAUGUGGUUUAAUUCGAUGCAACGCGAAGAACCUUACCAGGGUUUGACAUGCCACUUUUUUCCUGAAAAGGAAAGUUAGCUUGAACUUUGUUCAAGUAGGGUGGACACAGGUGGUGCAUGGCUGUCGUCAGCUCGUGUCUUGAGAUGUUGGGUUAAGUCCCGCAACGAGCGCAACCCUCGUUCUGUGUUGCCAGCAUUUAGUUGGGGACUCACAGGAGACUGCCGGGGUUAACUCGGAGGAAGGUGGGGAUGACGUCAAAUCAUCAUGCCCCUUAUGUCUUGGGCUGCACGCAUGCUACAAUGGCCGGUACAGAGGGCUGCAAUACCGUAAGGUGGAGCGAAUCCAAAAAAGCCGGUCUCAGUUCGGAUUGAGGUCUGCAACUCGACCUCAUGAAGUUGGAGUUGCUAGUAAUCGUAGAUCAGCAACGCUACGGUGAAUACGUUCCCGGGGCUUGUACACACCGCCCGUCACGUCACGAAAGUCGGUAACACCCAAAGUCAGUGGCCCAACCGCAAGGGGGGAGCUGCCUAAGGUGGGAUCGGUGAUUGGGACGAAGUCGUAACAAGGUAACC
This 1505-nucleotide ribosomal RNA is filed under the name uncultured bacterium. RNAcentral describes it as "bacterial SSU rRNA". It matches the Rfam family "Bacterial small subunit ribosomal RNA". The record is from RNAcentral.